GAAUAAUAGUUAAAAAGACUGAAUUUAUCCAAAACUUCAUGUGUCCUUUAUUUAUGUACAAACACACAUAUAUAUGCUAUCUAUAUAUAUAUAUUUUCAUCAUAUGUACACUUUAUAUCACUUUACUUUCUUUCUUCCUCAACUUUACAAAUACAAAUAUAACGUAUAAUGUGCAAUAUGUGCUCUCGACAUCAGCAAUAUUUUUAAACAGAUUAUGUGCGUAAAUAUCAAAAAGUCACCUCUCUUAGAACAAAUUUCUGUUAUGUUUAUUUCAAUUAAUUAAUUUUUUUUUGUUAGGUUAAUCAUGAUUGGCAAGAAGGUGGAAUUUUGCUUCAAAUCUGGAUAUAGAAAUAUAGAGAUUUAUAAGACAUGAGAGCACAUUUGCCCAAAUUAAAAGGUAAAAAAUAUUUUAUACAUAAAUCAUAAUUGAUAAAAAAAAGUUCCCAAUUUGUUUAUUAAUAAAAAUUUCUUACACUGCUAACAUAGUUCAAUAGUAAACUUUAUUUACAGUCUCAACUCAUCUUAAAAGUUACUAUAUAAUCUUUUAAAAAAUUGUUCAUUUUUUUUACCCGUUAUAUUACAAUUUUUUGAAUUAUCACAACAAUGCAAUGUACACUUGCCAUUCAUUUAAAUCCGAGUUUCUUCCAUUUACACGCGAAUAAAUAGAACGGUUGCAAUUUCUUUUUUGCAAUCUAACAUUUUCUCUGUAAACAGGGAAAAAUCAUUCUAUUCUACAAGAGGUUUGCAUUUGUUUUUUGGGUAUCUGAAACAUAAAAUUACUAUGUUGGACUUUAAUUACCUAUGAAAAUGGCCAGUUAAAAUGAAAAUGUAUAACGUAGACUAGCCUAGAAUUAUAUACAGAUUCAUGCCUAUACAAUGUUCCUGGGAGCUUCCCUGGCAAAUAAAAUUGACUAGAUCAACUUCCUCAACGUACAUCUCAAAUCACAGCGAUAAAUUCAAACCCGAUGGUCAGAAAAUGAUUAUCUCUUCAUGAGCUGAUGACCCGUAAAUUUUGGCACAUGCACAUUUAUAAUCACCGUUAAGCAUUAUCUAAUUGGGGAGGAAGGGGUCCAUCUCUCAAAUUGUGAUAUGUCGAUUAUAUAACAAUCUCAAUAUCAAAAAAGGUUUGUCAAAUUUUUAAAUAUAGAUUUUUCUUUUGCUUUCUAGGUAAAGAAGUUAGUGCGAUUGACAGGACAGGUUCUUAUAAAAACAGCAGUUAAGUCAAAAAACUGUUAACUUUUUUUUUUCUGGGACGAUACUGAUGAGGAUGAGGCUUAGGUAUGGAGUCAGAGAAAUUCACCACUGAAGAUGGCGAGAUAGGUGAUUGUCUACAGGAGUGAGGGUGGACAGAUCAAAAUGAUCAGAAACAGUCAAAUCUCAGUAACAGAGUCAAUCGUUAAUAACAGUUCAAAAAUACAAAUUGGUGACCCGGACAAUCGUCCACGAAACGUUUGUUUUUACAGAAAACGUUUUAUCGUCUUCACAACGAACAUGGCCCGACUCACGCCUUUUGUCGGAUCUCGGCCGCUGGACUGGACAUAUUUUUGUCUAAAAUGGCAGUCCGCCUACAGAGGAGAUCGUCGCAACUCGCAGCCACGUAAGUGUAAAGCUAACUAAACUUUGAAGUUCAGAUUUACAGGUCUGGUUCGAGAAAGUUGAAGCCCAAUUCCACUGGCCAAAAUUACAAACUCAACAACUAAAAUAAAUUACCUGUUAUCAACCAUCGAACCAGACAGAAUUCUCGGACAUAUACGGUAGGGUUCACACCAGAGCGAUAAGAUAUCUUUAGGUAAGCGAUGUACGAUAAUUGUCUUGCUGGAUACGCAACGCUCUGGCCUAUAAAAAACGUGAAGGAACGACAAAAUUAGUUCACACCUGUAGGAUUGCGACCUGUGUCUAAGAUAGACUGUCUGCUUGUCUCUUCCUUAAUCCUUCAGUGUCGUACGAUAUUGGGAAGGGUGAAGAUGGCAAAUUCAAAGAGUGAGGACAUUGGCUUUGUGUUAGGCCGGCUCAUGUCUUAUGAACCUCACCUAUCUUAGGAUAAAAAGCUAAUGUUUCUGCGAUAUAUAGCUUACCGCUCAGGUGUCAACCCGGCCUUGAGAAACCAAAAAACACGUAAUUAUACGACCAAGAUUCGGCGAAAUCUAAGAGGAUAAAUUAAAUCAACUUUUAGCACCUUUACACGUAGGUGACAAAACUCCAUCUCAAUUAUUAAGUGAAAUUCAAAGACUAGCAGAGGAGGCGUCGGUGGCCGC
Long non-coding RNA from Cimex lectularius (bed bug), 2255 nucleotides. RefSeq lists it as uncharacterized. The transcript has 3 exons. The record is from RefSeq and is a predicted model, not a curated record. Lineage: Eukaryota; Metazoa; Arthropoda; Insecta; Hemiptera; Cimicidae.